RNAcentral lists this ribosomal RNA (465 nucleotides) under Vreelandella stevensii. Its description in RNAcentral is "partial 16S ribosomal RNA". It matches the Rfam family "Bacterial small subunit ribosomal RNA", at positions 338 to 795 of the family's 1533-position model. Lineage: Bacteria; Pseudomonadati; Pseudomonadota; Gammaproteobacteria; Oceanospirillales; Halomonadaceae. The record is from RNAcentral.
CCUACGGGAGGCUGCAGUGGGGAAUAUUGGACAAUGGGGGCAACCCUGAUCCAGCCAUGCCGCGUGUGUGAAGAAGGCCCUCGGGUUGUAAAGCACUUUCAGUGAGGAAGAACGCCUGGUGGUUAAUACCCAUCAGGAAAGACAUCACUCACAGAAGAAGCACCGGCUAACUCCGUGCCAGCAGCCGCGGUAAUACGGAGGGUGCGAGCGUUAAUCGGAAUUACUGGGCGUAAAGCGCGCGUAGGUGGCUUGAUAAGCCGGUUGUGAAAGCCCCGGGCUCAACCUGGGAACGGCAUCCGGAACUGUCAAGCUAGAGUGCAGGAGAGGAAGGUAGAGUUCCCGGUGUAGCGGUGAAAUGCGUAGAGAUCGGGAGGAAUACCAGUGGCGAAGGCGGCCUUCUGGACUGACACUGACACUGAGGUGCGAAAGCGUGGGUAGCAAACAGGAUUAGAUACCCCGGUAGUC